AUUGAACGCUGGCGGCAGGCCUAACACAUGCAAGUCGAGCGGAGCGGCGGACGGGUGAGUAAUGCCUAGGAAUCGGCCUGGUCGUGGGGGAUAACGCCCGGCAACGGGCGCUAACACCGCACACUCUCAGUUGAGCCUAGGUCGGAUUAGCUAGUUGGGGGGGUAAAGGCCUACCAAGGCGACGAUCCCUAACUGGUCGGAGAGGAUGAUCAGUCACACUGGAACUGAGACACGGUCCAGACUCCUACGGGAGGCAGCAGUGGGGAAUAUUGGACAAUGGGCGAAAGCCUGAUACAGCCAUGCCGCGUGUGUGAAGAAGGUCUUCGGAUUGUAAAGUACUUUAAGUUGGGAGGCGUUACCAACAGAAUAAGCACCGGCUAACUUCGUGCCAGCAGCCGCGGUAAUAC
Molecule: ribosomal RNA, 407 nt
Filed under: uncultured bacterium
Lineage: Bacteria
Description: partial 16S ribosomal RNA
Rfam family: Bacterial small subunit ribosomal RNA
Source: RNAcentral